This 540-nucleotide small RNA is filed under the name Rattus norvegicus (Norway rat). RNAcentral describes it as "cystatin S like 3 (Cyssl3)". The record is from RNAcentral. Lineage: Eukaryota; Metazoa; Chordata; Mammalia; Rodentia; Muridae.
AUGGGCACUUGGAAAAUUUUCCUGAAUGAAACACCAAUGGUUUACUGCUGUUCCACUCAAAGCCGUGAACCCAAGUCCACUUCUAAGAAGACCGUGGACUGCCUCCUCUACACUCAACUAUUUCUGCUUACCACCCUCAUAUUAGUUCUGAACCUGAGUCAUUACCCUGUGAUAGGUCAGAUUGUGGGUACAUGGAGGAAUCUAGUAUAGAGGAGGAAGGUGCCCCAGAAGCACUGAACUUUGCUGUCAGCCAGUACAAUGAAAACAGCAGUGACAUGUACCUGAGCCAUAUGGUGGAAGUGAAAACGGUCCCAAAAAAAGAAGGGGUGGUGGCUGAGAGGAUCUUGUUAUUUGAUGUGAUCCUAGGAAAAACUACAUGUAUGAAGACACAGGCCUGACUUGAGCAACUGUCUCUUAAAUGAAGAGACUGAUCAGAAAGAGCAUCAGUCUGGAUUGUUUGGAGAUUUCCAAUACACCUCUUUGGCCAACAGCACAACUAAAUACUACCCAGUCCCACUACUGAAAGCCUUGCCUGGUUAA